CUUUUAACAAUAGCCAUUCCAAUUUCUUUCUUAUUAUACAUAUUUAGUUAUUUCUAUUUUUUCAUCUUUUUUUGAGAAAAGUCUUACUUAUUUAUUUUUUUUAUCAAGUUUUUAUCCUUGACAAUUGAUAGCUUAUAAUAUAAGCAAAUCAUGUAGCACAUAUAUAGAAAACUUAUUUUGAAAAUGAAACAUGUAUCUUAUAAGUUGCAUACAUUGUCAUCUUAUUUGAGGUCUUGCUUGAGAAUGCACCAAACACUUGAUUGUAGAAGAUAAAAAGAAUUUGCAACAAUAAGUCCUAACUACUCUGAUAAAAUCAUAUAUAAAUUACUAUAGAAGCUUAACAAACAUAAUCAAGCAUCAAUUAAGUCUAAUUAUUAUUAUUUAUUUUAUUUUAUUUUAUUUUAUUUUUAAAAUGAAUUAUAAAAAAAUACAAAAAAAUCCUAAAGAAACCUAAAAAAUCCUAAAGAAAUUCAAAAGAAUCUUCAAAGAAUCCUAAAGAAAUCCUA
RNAcentral lists this long non-coding RNA (506 nucleotides) under Physcomitrium patens. RNAcentral describes it as "long non-coding RNA (PPAT_LNC004876)". The record is from RNAcentral. Lineage: Eukaryota; Viridiplantae; Streptophyta; Bryopsida; Funariales; Funariaceae.